ACAGAUAAAUAAAUAAAAAGCAAGAAAACACAUAAAACCCUAAAAUCGCAGGUUAGGACAAACUCUCUUUUAGGGAAAGUGCAAGAACUCCCCAAUAUAGUCGCCAACUGUCGCUGCUGGAAAAAUGACAGAGUCGUCACCAUCCUUUGUUCAUUCCUAAGGAACAAGGAAAUAAUGACAAAACCUAAUAGUUAAAGGUGAGAGAUUGGGUUCGGGAGUCGGUUAUGUAAGGGGAAGGUACAAG
Molecule: long non-coding RNA, 244 nt
Filed under: Lathyrus oleraceus (garden pea)
Lineage: Eukaryota; Viridiplantae; Streptophyta; Magnoliopsida; Fabales; Fabaceae
Description: Pisum sativum (pea) long non-coding RNA (PSAT_LNC017835)
Source: RNAcentral